Pungitius pungitius (ninespine stickleback) is the source of this 1025-nucleotide long non-coding RNA. RefSeq lists it as uncharacterized. The transcript has 6 exons. NCBI's taxonomy places the organism in Eukaryota, Metazoa, Chordata, Actinopteri, Perciformes, Gasterosteidae. The record is from RefSeq and is a predicted model, not a curated record.
CUCAUACUCCACCCAAGAACUCUGCAACGUUACUCGUAAAAGUAACUAGUGGACAGUUAUGCCCAAUGGCGUGAAUAAUUACUAAUUGUUCAUUUCUGACCUUAACUUUCAACGGCCAUACAACAAACGUAAAUCUAAUGGUGUGAUUGCUGCCGGCUGCGCGGUCUUAAGCGUGUGUAUAAAGGGCACGAGACGCUGCUCUCCUGUCUCUGGCGAGGAGGACGCACGACUAGGUGACAGCCACGGUGAGGCUGCCGUCAUUCAGCCGCACUUUGAUUUCUGGGCUAGCUCGUUAGAUUGUGCAGGUUUGACAUUUGCGCUACAACGUGCGGCACUUAUGAGGCUAACGGACGUUAGCUUGUGUCGCUAACCCGAGUCACUUCAUGCAGGCCGGCAAUAACGUCAUCAUGUAACGGGGCCACGACGACGGCAGGGCCGAUGCAUUCGUACAAUUCCAUACGGAUUGCAUCAACGCACUCAAUUGUCAGGGUAAAUCCGAAGCAGGAUCUCACCCAGAGACCCCCGACGCUGCACAUCCUGCAGGAAUUGGGGAACGUGGAAGGUGAAGAGGCAGAACAUGAACGUUGCGUCACGUGCAGGUGACCCUGAUGGCUGAAGGAGAACUUUGAAUGACAAGGCAUCAAGUUGAGCUCUUUAACGUUGGCCCAAAGGCUACGACACCUCGCAGGUGUGCCAGAGACUCGUUUCGAGCCCAGAUUACGGUGGUCUGCAUCCACCUGUGAAAGGACUACGAGGAAGCUGCAUCAGUCAGUUUAGACUGACUUGACUGCAGGAACAACCAAGCAUGAUGGUGUGGGACAAACUCUUGGUUUGAGAAGUUUGUUCAGCCUUGAGAAUUUUUUAACCAGAUUGAUGAAAUUAGUCUACUUAACUGCAGGAAAAACCAGCGCCAGUUUUUAAAUCUACUGGUAGUAAUUAUUCUUGCAUCUGAUUUGUCAACCUACAACAUAUUUUGUGCUCUAAUGAGGCAUGACAGUUUCAGGUAGUCUUUAUUGCACCCUGCG